CGCAAACAUCAUGCACCAAGGAACAAUAAUGAUUCAUAAAUACAAGUAUCCUGAUGAUGAUACGCAGAAAGAGAGAGUGGGUUGUGAUUCUUUAGUUUUUGCAGGAGGAAUUGUUGGAGAUUUAAAAGCUUAAAUCUAAGCUUUUAGGUCUUGUUGCUAGUUCAUAUAUUACAUAAAGCCAGUUAGAAAUGAGUUGGCUUUGUGAAUUUCAGCUUAAAGUAAGGAGAAAAUGAGAAAAAAAAAAGGUGCUUGGGUAGGCUGAAUAUAUAGUUACUGAUCGAUAUCUUUAUGUAAUAGCCAUUAUGGUUGUUAGUUACACUUGUUUGUUCCGGAACCCUCCUUUGCAGUGGCGUAUAAUAAUGCUAUUUACCAAGUGAAAGACGGAUGAUAACUGUCAGUUUCGUUUUUUUCCCCAUCCAUUGUCUUUAUGUUUAUGCUUUCUUUUGUUCUAAUCAACAAUGUUAGCAUUGAUGUUUUCCGGGUUGCACUUGUUUGGCAUCACUUGAUGUUACUCAUUCUUUCUUUUCCCUGUUUGCUAUUUAAUUUUUAUAAUCCUGCUUAUACAUCCUUCCAAUCUCUUUAAUCUCACCUUGUGCAGGUAAGAGGUGGCCAGCUAUGGGGG
This 622-nucleotide unclassified non-coding RNA is filed under the name Hevea brasiliensis (rubber tree). Lineage: Eukaryota; Viridiplantae; Streptophyta; Magnoliopsida; Malpighiales; Euphorbiaceae. The record is from RNAcentral.